GUGUUUCCUGUGCUGGGUGUAGCUGUUGCUCUCCCUUACUACUACCAGGUCCUCACCUCCCAUUCGAUGGGAACAUAUCUAAAACUGAAUUUCCAGCAGAAUGUGGGCUUGAAAAGUGAUGGGAAGGGGGGAGCUAAGCUGUAAGUAGCCCCCCGAGGCUUGUUGUCCUAAUGAAUACCAGGCCACAAAUUAAUGAAGGAGGUUUUAGGAAAACACUGCGAUUUUCUUAGGCUUUCAAGCAUCAGCAAAUCUUCCAGAAGUCCAGACAGCUGUUUACAGCUUGCUAAGAUGUUGAUUGUUUACAAAUUAGGUUGUCUUUGAAAACCUGCACCUCUCAGCCUGCUAAUGUCACUCAUCGUUGAAGUGAGGGUCCUUCUCAGCCAAAGAAGAAAGGCAAACUUUGGUGGUCUGGUCUGUAGGGAGCCUCCUUGGUUUUACCUCAGGAGUAUCCAGUAUUUUUCUAACCUCCCCAUUUCACCAUUUCAGGUGGUUUUGCCCUGGAUUUUCUUCAGCAUUCACAAAUUCAUUUGUUUGCAAUUGUUCCUAACUGAAACAGUUGCAAGCACAAACAUCGUCUCUUCUUUUUUGCAUAUGCAAAAUAGUUUUUGGCUUUUCUCUAGAAACAAAGGCUGGAGUCUGGGGAAAAAAAAAAAGAAUAUGAUAUAAAGGAGGAGCUUCUGUAUGAGAAGAUUUGUUUUCUCCCUGACAGCUGUACAGCACCAAUUGACCAGGUUGUGAAGUCAAGGCCAGAGCCUUCAGCAUUCAGCAGCUUCCUGUGUCUUAAUGUUUCUGUUUGGGGAAUGAACUGCAAUUUGUUUUCACUGACCCAUAGCUUCAGUUGCAGAGUGUAGGAUUACCUUAAUAGACCCAAACUUGAGGCACAUCAACUCUAUUUUUAGUCCUUUCUUGUGCCAUUCGUGCCUGGGCUGUCUGCAGAGCCCACUGUGCUUGCUCUCUGCCCAUGCAGGGGAUCUGGAGGAGAGAGGGAAUGCUCUGGGAUUGUCUGCCCAGCCAAGGGCAGGGUGGGCCAGGGGAGUGCCCACCACCAUCCUGCUGUGCCUCUGGCUCUGUUCCCCACCCCCAGUGCAUCCCAGGAGCCUGUUCCAAUAACAAUUAGCCCUGACUCAGGGGCACCAUAAAUCAAACCCUGAGCCCCCCAGCAAAACCAAUUUCCUGGCUGCAAGGGAAUGUGCUCCAUAAUUUUCUGUGUGCCAUCCAGACCUGCUAUUUAGCAAAGGCUGCAGGUUUUUAUUUCUCAUGAGGGAGUGGUGUGGUGCAUCCCUGUACACCAUAUCACCUUGUGUUUACUCUGGACAUGGACAGCAGACACCCAGGAUACAACUUCAAGCCAGAGCUCUCCAUCAUAGUCAGACUGCAGCUGGACAGACCUGAUGCAGCCUCUUGAUGUCCUGGCACUGCUUAGAAGGCAGCUUUGGAAAAAGUCUUUGGAUACCUUCAGGCUGGUGGGAGAACUGAUGUCGCAUAGUCAGACAUCCCUGAGAUUAGCAGCUGCACGACAGACCCAUAAACCCCAGGUUUUGUCAGCAAGGAAGACAAAUGCAUUUGAGCUCCACAGUGUGUUAUUUACAAAGGGAGAACUGGUUGUUCCUUGGCUUGUCAGACAACAGAAGAAAGUGUUCUGGUUUUAGUUGCUACCCUUAGGUCCUGUACAGUCAGUACAGUGGAUGAAGCAGCUUCCCAGCCCCAGGUGGCUCAGGAAUGCCAAAUAUUUUGAGACCUUCUAUAAGUACCACAGAGGAUGAAGUCCUCUUCUCCUCCAGUUGUCCUUGACGCUCCGCCUCUUAUCCACCUGCUCUGCUCUAAAAAACUUUGUUUUUAUUAGUUGGUGUUAAAGUUCCCAGGAGAAAAGUGUUUUCCUUUUUUUCUACUCACUUUCAAUACUGUAGGAAACUCUGGGUGAAAUACAUAAAAACAAGUUAAGAUCAGAAUUUCCCAAAGUGAAUAGUGAUUUCAGAUGCCUCUGCUCCACAAACAGCUUUAACAAACCCAGUGGUGAGUCAGAAUGAAAUGUUCACUGAGAUUGCAAGCAGGCCUCCCAGCACUCAAAGUAUCUGAAUAUGUCUCCAGGGAAAGAAAGAGUUAAUGGAGUUACCUUACAUUUAGUAUUCAUUCUUUUUUCAGCUUUGUCAGGUAGCAGCCAACAAGCCCAGGCUUGACUUGGAGCAUCAGCUCUGUACUAGCAUAGUCUUGUGGGCAGACUAAUGUAAUAUUAAUGGGAUUGACAUCUCUGCUGAGAUCAGUUACAAAUGCAGGAUCCAAGUUAUUUAACAGCUGGUGCAACUGUAUUUGAAUUUCGAUCAUAAAGACACAUGCUGGGUUAACAGGGCCAGGGGCAGGGCCAGAAUCCUGUACAGCAGAAGUGGCCUGGGACUCAUGUUUUUAAGGCAAAAUAAUCUGGGGAAAAACUCCCAGAUUAUUCCUAUAUAUUUUUUCAGAAUGGAUAUUCUAGAGAUAAGCAGGUUACAUAGUCAACACUUAAUCUUAAACUGACACUCAUUAAACUCCUUAAAAGAUCUGGGAGUGUGAAGAGCAAAAAACAUUUGUGAGCAUGUUCUACAAGGUGGCCUAAUUUACCCUUCCUGAAGAAAGAGAUCUAGACACUGGGCAAACCUGGCAAGGUCAAAGGUCUUUGGAAGGGGAAAAACAUGUGGAUGACAGUCUAAGUUAUGUUAUAACACAAAACUCGAGUUUGAAUCACUGAGAAUUCACAGGAAAAGGGAUCUUGUUUCUCUAUAUAAUAACCACAACCUUACAAAUUUCUCCUGGAAAUUUCAGCUAAAAACCCCCCCACACACACACACAAAAACCCCCACCCUAUAUUUUCCC
Molecule: long non-coding RNA, 2847 nt
Organism: Passer domesticus (house sparrow)
Lineage: Eukaryota; Metazoa; Chordata; Aves; Passeriformes; Passeridae
Exons: 4
Source: RefSeq, a predicted model, not a curated record